ACCUUGUCCUGGCAUAACAGCCUCUCCAACACCAUUCCCAGUUUCCUGCUGUUCCCCAGCUUUGGGGCUGGGAGGAGCAAACCCACCCCCAUCCCCACCUCCACCCUGCCAGCAACCCACCUUCAUUCAGCACAAGCACUCCUUUGCCUAGGAAGAAGCAGGCUUCAGUUCUUCCAUUGCUCUAUGCUUCAACCUCAACCGGUCUCCAGGUCUUCCAAUGCCCAGGAGUUUGGAAAUAGUCACUCACUGGCUGCCUACUGCAAGCUGGCAGGGCUCUUGAACCAGAUCAUCCAGAUCAUCCCAGAACCACUCUCCCAGCUUCUACUCCUAUUGCUGCACUGGCUGUGGGUGUGCAGUAAAUGCGAAGAAAUAUGAGAAGGUGACUCUAAACCAGAAACAACAAAUCUACACAAGUUCUAGGAAAUCACUAACCUUCUAUUCGUCAUUAAUUAAACCAUCAAUCAAAAGGAUACACUUGCCAACCAGAAAGAACUCUUCAGAUGGCCAACCAUUUGUUACAUCAUAGCUUAUGAAAUAAUCCAUCUUUUUUUCAUAAGCCAGCCUUCCUGCUCAGCGGUACACUAGGAGAUGAAUCUUUCAGCUACUUCUGCUGGUGUCCUAUGCCUGCAACCUGAAAUUAGGAAAAGCACACUGAAGUGUUGAGAAGCAGGAAGAAAAUGACCUUGUAGGACAGAGCCCAUCCUUAGAAGAGGGAAUUGAUCCUUGAGGGCAGGGCAAGCUUCUUCUGAGAACCAGUUUCAUCCCCUUGAGCGCUGCCAGCUAUGGGACUCCUUCAGCUCCUUUGCAGAAGCAGACUACGUGAUCAUCCAGACGAGACCCUGACAGUGACUGCAUAACUGUGCACGCCCACUGCCCUCCUGCACCAACUCUUUCUCUACGUACAAGUCUGAAUCCAUGUCAGUAACCAGGGGAUGGGCCUGGGGUCAGCAAAUACCUUUAUUUCUUUCUCUUCCUAGUGUGGUCACAUUAAAUAAACCUCUUGCUGCUUUUCACUG
This 1016-nucleotide long non-coding RNA is filed under the name Mus musculus (house mouse). Its description in RNAcentral is "predicted gene 1715 (Gm1715)". The record is from RNAcentral. Lineage: Eukaryota; Metazoa; Chordata; Mammalia; Rodentia; Muridae.